GUGGGCCUAAUGCUGCAAUGUUCCGCUGAUGAUGCUUUCUUGUGCCAAGUUCUAUGGUGUCAUGAGAUCAGAAAAUGUUUGAAUGGCAGGAUUCGUGAUGAUAUUGAAAAGGAGGUUGCUUUCCAAGGCCUAUGUGCAAUGGUAUGAAUUUGAUUUCAGAAGUUAUCAUCAUCAAGGGUGAAUCAAUAACUAAACUCGAGUAUUUGGGAUCCCUUCGAGGUCCAAGCAAAUCUUUCGAGAGCUUUAAGUUCACUUGUAUUCAUGUGCAAAGCUAUAGCAAGUUGGCAUGAAAUAAGGAGCAAGGAGCUACACAAUGAACUUUGUCAGGUGUUGCAUGGCUAUAAACAGGAAUCUACCAGUUGUUUGGAUAUAUGUGGAGAUUGGAAAAUGGGUUUGCUUGAAGAUGCAGAUGUUACAGCUAAUUUC
Molecule: long non-coding RNA, 426 nt
Organism: Mercurialis annua (annual mercury)
Lineage: Eukaryota; Viridiplantae; Streptophyta; Magnoliopsida; Malpighiales; Euphorbiaceae
Exons: 3
Source: RefSeq, a predicted model, not a curated record